This 460-nucleotide ribosomal RNA is filed under the name uncultured bacterium. Its description in RNAcentral is "partial 16S ribosomal RNA". It matches the Rfam family "Bacterial small subunit ribosomal RNA", at positions 338 to 795 of the family's 1533-position model. The record is from RNAcentral.
CCUACGGGUGGCAGCAGUGAGGAAUAUUGGUCAAUGGUCGGGAGACUGAACCAGCCAAGCCGCGUGCGGGAGGAAGGUACAGAGUAUCGUAAACCUCUUUUGUCAGGGAACAAAGACUGGGACGCGUCCCCGGAUGAGUGUACCUGAAGAAAAAGCAUCGGCUAACUCCGUGCCAGCAGCCGCGGUAAUACGGAGGAUGCGAGCGUUAUCCGGAUUUAUUGGGUUUAAAGGGUGCGGAGGCGGUUUGUUAAGUCAGCGGUGAAAGCCCGGGGCUCAACCCCAGCCUCGCAGUUGAUACUGGCAGUCGUGAGUAGAGGAGAGGUAUGCGGAAGGCGCGGUGUAGCGGUGAAAUGCAUAGAUAUCGCGCAGAACUCCGAUUGCGAAGGCAGCAGGCCAGCUCGACACUGACGCUGAGGCACGAAAGCGUGGGUAUCGAACAGGAUUAGAUACCCCAGUAGUC